RNAcentral lists this ribosomal RNA (253 nucleotides) under uncultured bacterium. RNAcentral's name for it is "partial 16S ribosomal RNA". It matches the Rfam family "Bacterial small subunit ribosomal RNA", at positions 524 to 776 of the family's 1533-position model. The record is from RNAcentral.
UACAGAGGUCUCAAGCGUUGUUCGGAUUCAUUGGGCGUAAAGGGUGCGUAGGUGGCGCCGUAAGUCGGGUGUGAAAUUUCGGAGCUUAACUCCGAAACUGCAUUCGAUACUGCGGUGCUUGAGGACUGGAGAGGAGACUGGAAUUCAUGGUGUAGCAGUGAAAUGCGUAGAGAUCAUGAGGAAGACCAGUGGCGAAGGCGGGUUUCUGGACAGUUCCUGACACUGAGGCACGAAGGCCAGGGGAGCAAACGGG